Molecule: non-coding RNA, 1025 nt
Organism: Prunus avium (sweet cherry)
Lineage: Eukaryota; Viridiplantae; Streptophyta; Magnoliopsida; Rosales; Rosaceae
Source: RefSeq, a predicted model, not a curated record
UUUUAUAUAUGUGUAAGUAUAUUUAGGUUAGUAUGUAUACUUUAUUUGUUUGUAAAUAAUGUGAGUUUCUUUAGCUAUUAAGUUAUUUUUGUCGAAUCUUUAGCUAUUAAGUUGGUCUAGUUGUUUGGUGUUAUAUUUCUACUUUUCUUCAGUCCAAUGAAUGUGCAAUUUCGUGGUUAAUAUAUUCUUUAUUCUCAGUUUUUUGUUAUUUUUUGGGUUUGCUUGUAAAUUGAAGUAGAUGAUGAUGAGUGAUGAGGGUCACCCAAUGGAUAAUAAAUUGAAGUAGAUGGUGAUGAGGGUAAUUCAAUUGAGAGACAGUAAGAGUGAGGGAUGAUCUAUGCUGAAUAAUUCUUUAGUAGAUUGUUUUGUAUUGAAAUGUUAAAGUAAUAGUUUUUUGCCAAUGAUGUAUGAUUAAUUUGUUACUCCAUUAAUGUUAUGUAUAUCAAAUAUUUUAGAUGAGUAGUUCUGGAGAGUUCACAAGAAGGGCCCAACAUUGACUUGGGGGAUGAUCUAGAGGGAGAUGGUUCUACAGGUGGUACUGGGCACCGAUGAAUUUCUUCCUCAACAACAAUAUUUGAUUCAUGUAUUCAAGGGAUAUAACAAUGAAGAAUAUUGAAAAGUUGUGGAGAAGUUUCAAGAGUAAUGUGAAGAAAGUUUAUUAUAAACCUUUCACAGGAAAUAAAAGACAGUGUGGGGAUUAUUUGUUUUUAGGGGGGAUGUAGACCCUACUGAGACUGACUGUUUAGAAUCAGAUCAAGGUACUCAAGGACUUGAAUAGAUGCAGUUAGUGUUAUGCAUUUUUGGUAUAGUGGUUGAUUGUAUUUUGGACCCUAAUGAUGUAUGCAUACUUUUGUAGUGUACUUGUUGAAUAAUUGGCAUUGCAUAGUUUUGUACAGUAAGGGCAACUAAAGUUAUUGAACUCUAUUGAUGUACCUAGGAAGAUCUUUGUAAUAAUUUGGCUAUUGUAAUCAACAUUGCCACAUUGGUACUUCAUAUUUUAUAAGGAUGGUGAAUGUAUGGUUCAA